CCCUUAGAGUUUGAUCAUGGCUCAGAAUGAACGCUGGCGGCAUGCCUAACACAUGCAAGUCGAACGAAGGCUUCGGCCUUAGUGGCGCACGGGUGCGUAACGCGUGGGAAUCUGCCCUCAGGUUCGGAAUAACAGCGAGAAAUUGCUGCUAAUACCGGAUGAUAUCGCGAGAUCAAAGAUUUAUCGCCUGAGGAUGAGCCCGCGUAGGAUUAGCUAGUUGGUGUGGUAAAGGCGCACCAAGGCGACGAUCCUUAGCUGGUCUGAGAGGAUGAUCAGCCACACUGGGACUGAGACACGGCCCAGACUCCUAUGGGAGGCAGCAGUGGGGAAUAUUGGACAAUGGGCGAAAGCCUGAUCCAGCAAUGCCGCGUGAGUGAUGAAGGCCUUAGGGUUGUAAAGCUCUUUUACCCGGGAUGAUAAUGACAGUACCGGGAGAAUAAGCUCCGGCUAACUCCGUGCCAGCAGCCGCGGUAAUACGGAGGGAGCUAGCGUUAUUCGGAAUUACUGGGCGUAAAGCGCACGUAGGCGGCUUUGUAAGUUAGAGGUGAAAGCCUGGAGCUCAACUCCAGAAUUGCCUUUAAGACUGCAUCGCUUGAAUCCAGGAGAGGUGAGUGGAAUUCCGAGUGUAGAGGUGAAAUUCGUAGAUAUUCGGAAGAACACCAGUGGCGAAGGCGGCUCACUGGACUGGUAUUGACGCUGAGGUGCGAAAGCG
This 712-nucleotide ribosomal RNA is filed under the name uncultured bacterium. Its description in RNAcentral is "bacterial SSU rRNA". It matches the Rfam family "Bacterial small subunit ribosomal RNA", at positions 1 to 761 of the family's 1533-position model. The record is from RNAcentral.